This 504-nucleotide ribosomal RNA is filed under the name uncultured bacterium. Its description in RNAcentral is "partial 16S ribosomal RNA". It matches the Rfam family "Bacterial small subunit ribosomal RNA", at positions 28 to 523 of the family's 1533-position model. The record is from RNAcentral.
GAUAAACGCUAGCGGCAGGCUUAACACAUGCAAGUCGAGGGGCAGCAUAGAUUGUAGCAAUACAAUUGGUGGCGACCGGCGCACGGGUGCGUAACGCGUAUGCAACCUACCCGUCACAGGGGGAUAAUCCGGAGAAAUCUGGUCUAAUACCCCAUAACAUAUGGAUCGGCAUCGGUUCAUGUUGAAAUUUUCGGAGGUGACGGAUGGGCAUGCGUAGCAUUAGCUUGUUGGAGAGGUAACGGCUAACGAAGGCGACGAUGCUUAGGGGGACUGAGAGGGGUUCCCCCCACACUGGUCCUGAGACACGGACCAGACUCCUACGGGAGGCAGCAGUGAGGAAUAUUGGUCAAUGGGCGCAAGCCUGAACCAGCCAUGCCGCGUGCAGGAUGACGGCUCUAUGAGUUGUAAACUGCUUUUGUACGAGGGUAAAGUGGGUUACGUGUAACCUUUUGAAAGUAUCGUACGAAUAAGGAUCGGCUAACUCCGUGCCAGCCGCCGCCGUAA